This 253-nucleotide unclassified non-coding RNA is filed under the name uncultured Caryophanales bacterium. Its description in RNAcentral is "uncultured Bacillales bacterium contains 16S-23S intergenic spacer region". It matches the Rfam family "Bacterial small subunit ribosomal RNA", at positions 524 to 776 of the family's 1533-position model. The record is from RNAcentral. Lineage: Bacteria; Bacillati; Bacillota; Bacilli; Caryophanales.
UACGUAGGGGGCAAGCGUUAUCCGGAAUUUUUGGGCGUAAAGCGCGCGCAGGCGGUUAAUUAAGUCAGGUGUGAAAGGCUACGGCUCAACCGUAGAGUUGCAUUUGAAACUGGUUAGCUUGAGUGCAGGAGAGGUAAGUGGAAUUCCCGGUGUAGCGGUGGAAUGCGUAGAGAUCGGGAGGAACACCAGUGGCGAAGGCGGCUUACUGGCCUGCAACUGACGCUGAGGUGCGAAAGCGUGGGUAGCAAACAGG